This 253-nucleotide ribosomal RNA is filed under the name uncultured bacterium. RNAcentral describes it as "partial 16S ribosomal RNA". It matches the Rfam family "Bacterial small subunit ribosomal RNA", at positions 525 to 776 of the family's 1533-position model. The record is from RNAcentral.
ACGUAGGCUCCAAGCGUUGUCCGGAUUUAUUGGGCGUAAAGAGCUCGUAGGCGGUUUAGUAAGUCGGGUGUUAAAACUCUGGGCUCAACCCGGAGACGCCAUCCGAUACUACUAUGACUUGAGUUCAGGAGGGGAGCGGGGAAUUCCUAGUGUAGCGGUGAAAUGCGCAGAUAUUAGGAGGAACACCGGUGGCGAAGGCGCCGCUCUGGACUGAAACUGACGCUGAGGAGCGAAAGCAUGGGUAGCAAACAGG